UCCACGAGAGCUGUCCAGAGUCGCUGAGACAACCGGAACUGCAGCCGCUGGAGCAUCCGAGAUAACACGGUGUGUAGCUGGAUGAACACAGCAGGAAAGCUGACGUUUCGGGCCUAGAUCCUUCGCUGAGACCAAGAUUUGUGCAAUUGAGAUACCAGUGAUCGUUGCCAAAGCCCUGUUGCCUGUGGAGAAGGUUAACUUUCGUGUCCUGUUGCAGUUUGUAUGAUGAAGGUGCUCCCACAAUUCGGCCAUUUGAGAAGUUACAGAUCAUUCAUCUAGCAAUACUGAAGAGCUAACGGUGAUAUUACAAGUGCACUUUCAGGUGGGAAUCUCAAUAAUUGUAGCACCAAACUCUGACAGAAUUACUCAAUUCAUCAGGACCUGGAUAUUCGCAUUAUAGACUGAGAUAACGGUCUGGGGACCUAGGUUUGAAACCCACCAUUCCAGAUGGUAGAAUUUGAGUUUAAACAAAAAAAUCUGAAAUAAGAAUCUAAUGAUGACUGUAAAUCUGUUUUCAUUGUUGGAAAAACCUAUGUCUUUUAGGGAAGGAAACUGCCAUUCUUAUCCAGGGAUAUCAAGAUCCCAUGAAUGAAUUUUUAAAAAUUAAUUUUAAAAGAAACUCCUGCAAAUACAUUUAUCUCUGUCUUAAUUUGUUUGACAACCGACAGUUCAAACUGGUUGAUGGUCACUUUCACUUCUUUUGAUUAAAGUUGUGACCAUUUCAUGGUUGAAACAAAAAAAAAAUGCAUGAAUGGAACCACAGUUGUUCUCACAGGAACAAUGCAUGCUUUGUGUUUGAAAAAAAGUACCUCAUCUCACUUAUGAGCCAGAUAUCAAAGUUGACCAGAUCCUGACGCUGUGUACCAUGGAAGUGAAAUUCUUCACCGUCUUAUCCACUUGUGUUGCUAUUUCAGGGAGCUAUGGACUUUGAAUGUCCCAAACUCCUUGAGAAUUUCAUCAAACUGAUCCCCAAUGGCAGGAAUGGACAGGGUCAGCUUAGAUUGAUGAUCAUAAUUCAGGCUCAACAAAUCUACUGGCGCAUUUUGAGAAUGUAAUUAGUGGUGAGUGUGGCCACCUCUCUGUACUGUAGUGAUACAGAUCCCCUGAUCCUGCUUGCCCCAAAUGGCUGAUAUUGAAUGAUUCCUUGGACAUGCUGUGUCAGGAUCUCCUUACUGAAUCCUGUCUCCCUUGCCCUGGCUGAGAACUGUUUCCCUGAGACUUUGCAACAUGACCAUUUGGUCGAAACAUGUGUUUGUUGACACAGCUGCUGACCAGCCCUUGACUGACUGCUGGUAAUAAGUGAUAAGCUGCCUGACUUACGCCUGUGAUAAACAACCAGGCAAGACAGGAGCACUGUGAGACAUUAGGUUCUAGUUGAGACUAUGAAGUGCAAAAAUGCCAGGGAAAGGCAGAGAUAUUGUGGCAGAACACGUCUCAGGUGCUGAAAAGCUUGUAGAGUUCUGACAGCAAGAAUGUACUUUGGACAGGCAAUUCUGCAUCUUGAUGUAGCAUUUUUAUUUAACUUCUGGCUCAUUUUGCUAGAUUUGCAAAUAUCUCUUGGUCUGGCUAAUGUGAGAAGUGGUAAUCUGAUUAAACUCACAGGCUUUGACUUGUGAAAAAUGAAGCAGUCACAUGCACACUUGUUUGAUUGGUUGCUGUUGUACUCAAAUGAAAAAUGUGCAUUUGUAUACACCAUAUCGUUUCCGGGCUCAGUGUUUCCAAAAUCUCUAGUUCAAUACAUCCCAAGUCGUCGUCGUCAUCAGAGUCAAAACAAGUGAAUACUUCGAUAGCUUCAUCUUUCUUUUUUUAAAUUCUGAAAUGCUAUUUGUAAUGAGGUAGUGUUGGCAGGCUAUUUUCUUUUACUUCUGAUGCCAUGUGUGGAUUUUCAGGGAUGGUGUUGGUGGGAAGAUGCGGCAUGUACCAGGGAUGAGGCACUAACAUUCAGAGCAAGUGCUGAACAUGCAGAAAAGGCGAGAUUAACAGGUACCUUGGAACAAGCAUAGUUGGAGAAGGUUGGGUGAGAGGACUGAGAGAAAGCACUUUGGCAGCACCAGGACACGUGUUUGAUUCCAGCCUUGGGUGACUGCCUGUGUGGAGUUUGCACAUUCUCCCUGUGUCUAAGUGGGUUUCUUCAGAGUGCUCCCACAGUCCAAAGAUGUGCAGGCUAGGUGGAUUAGCCAUGUUAAAUUGCCUUUAGUAUUUAGGGAGUGGUAGUUCAGGUGGGUUACUGUUUGGGCUGGGAUGCUCUGAGGUUUGGUGUGGACUUGUUGGGCUGAAGGGCUGUUAUGGUUUCAGAGUGUUGAACAGAUGGAGAAUCUGAGAUAACAGGCCAAGUAGAACUGAAGGAACAGGAAGUCUGAUGUCUCAGGCCGAGACACCCUCCUUCGAGUGUUGAUCAGGCUGUUUUUUAAACUUGGUUUAAUGAGAGUGCACCAUUCCUGGAAACACUGCAAUACCAAGAUGAUGUGUGGAGAGGAUGGAGCAAGCCCCUCUUCCAAUUCCUGCUCUAAAAAUCAGUUUAACAUAGGGUCCUUAAGUAAAGGACAUGUCAGAUAUUAAAGCUGAUAAGAACAGAUUUUUUUUUUAUUUGAAAAAAAUAUACUUCAUUCAUAAGAUGUACAAAAAAAAACAUAUUUAUACACCUACCAAGUCAUGCAAGCUGCUCCUUGUUGCCCAGGGGGCUAUGUAUACCAACUAAAGGAAAAAAAAACAAAACAAAGCAGAAGCAAAACAAAAGAAAAAUACCCUGGCAGUCGUCUCCCCGCACAGUCCCCGUUGGCCUCCCGGACCAGUUG
Stegostoma tigrinum is the source of this 2795-nucleotide long non-coding RNA. RefSeq lists it as uncharacterized. The record is from RefSeq and is a predicted model, not a curated record. Lineage: Eukaryota; Metazoa; Chordata; Chondrichthyes; Orectolobiformes; Stegostomatidae. The transcript has 4 exons.